UACAGAGGUCUCAAGCGUUGUUCGGAUUCAUUGGGCGUAAAGGGUGCGUAGGUGGCUAGGUUAGUCAGGUGUGAAAUCUCGGGGCUCAACCCCGAAACUGCACUUGAUACUGCCUUGCUAGAGUACUGGAGAGGAGAUUGGAAUUUACGGUGUAGCAGUGAAAUGCGUAGAUAUCGUAAGGAAGACCAGUGGCGAAGGCGAAUCUCUGGACAGUUACUGACACUGAGGCACGAAGGCCAGGGGAGCAAACGGG
RNAcentral lists this ribosomal RNA (253 nucleotides) under uncultured bacterium. Its description in RNAcentral is "partial 16S ribosomal RNA". It matches the Rfam family "Bacterial small subunit ribosomal RNA", at positions 524 to 776 of the family's 1533-position model. The record is from RNAcentral.